AGGUCAUGGUGUGGGAAAUUUCUAAGAAGACCUUUGUGCCUUUCCCAAGCUUCAUAAAGAGAUUCCCCGGGUUGUUGCUCGAAUUUGGCGAUGGCUUUCUUCAACUU
Small nucleolar RNA from Lactuca sativa (garden lettuce), 107 nucleotides. The record is from RefSeq and is a predicted model, not a curated record. Lineage: Eukaryota; Viridiplantae; Streptophyta; Magnoliopsida; Asterales; Asteraceae.